UUUAUUUGGAGAGUUUGAUCCUGGCUCAGGACGAACGCUGGCGGCGUGCCUAAUACAUGCAAGUCGAGCGAAGUUUUUCUGGUGCUUGCACUAGAAAAACUUAGCGGCGAACGGGUGAGUAACACGUA
This 128-nucleotide ribosomal RNA is filed under the name Gemella sanguinis. Its description in RNAcentral is "partial 16S ribosomal RNA". It matches the Rfam family "Bacterial small subunit ribosomal RNA", at positions 1 to 119 of the family's 1533-position model. The record is from RNAcentral. Lineage: Bacteria; Bacillati; Bacillota; Bacilli; Caryophanales; Gemellaceae.